CCUACGGGGGGCAGCAGUGAGGAAUAUUGGUCAAUGGACGAGAGUCUGAACCAGCCAAGUAGCGUGAAGGAUGACUGCCCUAUGGGUUGUAAACUUCUUUUAUAUGGGAAUAAAAUGUUCCACGUGUGGGAUUUUGUAUGUACCAUAUGAAUAAGGAUCGGCUAACUCCGUGCCAGCAGCCGCGGUAAUACGGAGGAUCCGAGCGUUAUCCGGAUUUAUUGGGUUUAAAGGGAGCGUAGGUGGAUUGUUAAGUCAGUUGUGAAAGUUUGCGGCUCAACCGUAAAAUUGCAGUUGAAACUGGCAGUCUUGAGUACAGUAGAGGUGGGCGGAAGUCGUGGUGUAGCGGUGAAAUGCUGAGAUAUCACGAAGAACUCCGAUUGCGAAGGCAGUUCACUGGACUGCAACUGACACUGAGGCUCGAAAGUGUGGGUAUCAAACAGGAUUAGAUACCCCUGUAGUC
RNAcentral lists this ribosomal RNA (460 nucleotides) under uncultured bacterium. RNAcentral describes it as "partial 16S ribosomal RNA". It matches the Rfam family "Bacterial small subunit ribosomal RNA", at positions 338 to 795 of the family's 1533-position model. The record is from RNAcentral.